RNAcentral lists this ribosomal RNA (368 nucleotides) under uncultured organism. RNAcentral's name for it is "bacterial SSU rRNA". It matches the Rfam family "Bacterial small subunit ribosomal RNA", at positions 526 to 896 of the family's 1533-position model. The record is from RNAcentral.
CGGAGGAUCCAGGCGUUAUCCGGAUUCAUUGGGUUUAAAGGGUGCGUAGGCGGAAUGAUAAGUCAGUGGUGAAAUCUCGGAGCUUAACUCCGAAACUGCCAUUGAUACUGUCAAUCUUGAGUACAUUUGAUGAGGGCGGAAUGUGUCAUGUAGCGGUGAAAUGCUUAGAUAUGACACAGAACACCGAUUGCGAAGGCAGCUCUCAAAACUGUAACUGACGCUGAGGCACGAAAGCGUGGGUAUCAAACAGGAUUAGAUACCCUGGUAGUCCACGCUGUAAACUAUGAUUACUCGAUGUUUGCGAUAUACUGUAAGCGUCUAAGCGAAAGCGAUAAGUAAUCCACCUGGGGAGUACGCUCGCAAGAGUG